This 441-nucleotide ribosomal RNA is filed under the name uncultured Anaerolineaceae bacterium. RNAcentral's name for it is "bacterial SSU rRNA". It matches the Rfam family "Bacterial small subunit ribosomal RNA", at positions 338 to 795 of the family's 1533-position model. Lineage: Bacteria; Bacillati; Chloroflexota; Anaerolineae; Anaerolineales; Anaerolineaceae. The record is from RNAcentral.
CCUACGGGCGGCUGCAGUAGGGAAUAUUGCACAAUGGGCGAAAGCCUGAUGCAGCAACGCCGCGUGAGUGAAGAAGGCCUUCGGGUCGUAAAACUCUUUUCAAGGGAAAGAGGAAGGACGGUACCCUUGGAAUAAGCAUCGGCUAACUACGUGCCAGCAGCCGCGGUAACACGUAGGAUGCGAGCGUUAUUCGGAUUUACUGGGCGUAAAGCGCGUGUAGGCGGUUAGGAGAGUUGGAUGUGAAAGCUCCCGGCUUAACUGGGAGAGGUCGUUCAAAACUUCCUGACUAGAGUUUGGUAGAGGAAAAUGGAAUUCCGGGUGUAGUGGUGAAAUGCGUAGAUAUCCGGAGGAACACCAGUGGCGAAAGCGAUUUUCUGGACCGAUACUGACGCUCAGACGCGAAAGCUAGGGUAGCAAACGGGCUUAGAUACCCGUGUAGUC